UCUAGAGGGAAAAAGGUAAUACUUUCUAAGGAAACCUUUAUUGUAUGGCGGCCUUUUUUCUUUUUAGAGGAACUCGUCUCAUAAUCGUCACUCCUCGUUAUUUCUUACUUUUUUUUAUUUCUUAUACCGCCGUCUUAAGAUUUAUUUUCCUUUUUCUAAAAAAAGAAAUUUUACCAAGUCAGGUAAAGGUGAGGAUUAUAAAAAAGAGAAGAUAAGUUACCUAUAAAAUUUAUUUUAGGAUAUAUCUUUAACAUGAAUAUUGAAAGAGGAUUUAAUAGUAAUUUUUUAUUAUUAUUUUAUAAUGAACUAGUAAAAUAGGUGU
Molecule: ribosomal RNA, 322 nt
Filed under: Conothele sp. MYG553
Lineage: Eukaryota; Metazoa; Arthropoda; Arachnida; Araneae; Ctenizidae
Description: partial 12S ribosomal RNA
Source: RNAcentral